This 501-nucleotide ribosomal RNA is filed under the name uncultured bacterium. Its description in RNAcentral is "partial 16S ribosomal RNA". It matches the Rfam family "Bacterial small subunit ribosomal RNA", at positions 30 to 523 of the family's 1533-position model. The record is from RNAcentral.
AUUGAACGCUGGCGGCAGGCUUAACACAUGCAAGUCGAGCGGAGAUGAGGUGCUUGCACCUUAUCUUAGCGGCGGACGGGUGAGUAAUGCUUAGGAAUCUGCCUAUUAUUGGGGGACAACAUUCCGAAAGGAAUGCUAAUACCGCAUACGUCCUACGGGAGAAAGCAGGGGAUCUUCGGACCUUGCGCUAAUAGAUGAGCCUAAGUCGGAUUAGCUAGUUGGUGGGGUAAAGGCCUACCAAGGCGACGAUCUGUAGCGGGUCUGAGAGGAUGAUCCGCCACACUGGGACUGGGACACGGCCCAGACUCCUACGGGAGGCAGCAGUGGGGAAUAUUGGACAAUGGGGGGAACCCUGAUCCAGCCAUGCCGCGUGUGGGAAGAAGGCCUUAUGGUUGUAAAGCACUUUAAGCGAGGAGGAGGCUACUGAGACUAAUACUCUUGGAUAGUGGACGUUACUCGCAGAAUAAGCACCGGCUAACUCUGUGCCAGCAGCCGCCGUAA